RNAcentral lists this transfer RNA (69 nucleotides) under Trigonopterus sp. 6 AH-2016. RNAcentral describes it as "tRNA-Met". It matches the Rfam family "tRNA". From Rfam's summary of the family: Transfer RNA (tRNA) molecules are approximately 80 nucleotides in length. Their secondary structure includes four short double-helical elements and three loops (D, anti-codon, and T loops). Further hydrogen bonds mediate the characteristic L-shaped molecular structure. tRNAs have two regions of fundamental functional importance: the anti-codon, which is responsible for specific mRNA codon recognition, and the 3' end, to which the tRNAs corresponding amino acid is attached (by aminoacyl-tRNA synthetases). tRNAs cope with the degeneracy of the genetic code in two manners: having more than one tRNA (with a specific anti-codon) for a particular amino acid; and 'wobble' base-pairing, i.e. permitting non-standard base-pairing at the 3rd anti-codon position. The record is from RNAcentral. Lineage: Eukaryota; Metazoa; Arthropoda; Insecta; Coleoptera; Curculionidae.
AAAAAGAUAAGCUAAAGAAGCUUUUGGGUUCAUACCCCAUUUAUAAAGGUCAAAGUCCUUUUCUUUUUA